UUUUUUUUUUUUUUUUUGUGGGUGGGGGGGGUAAUUAAAUACCCACUCUAAAAUAUGAUGAAGAAAAGGGUAUGGGUUUGGUUUUAUGAAAUUCAAAAGUUAAACCGAAUUUUCAUUAUUGUGAAAGCGACUGCAAAAAUGAAACACGUAUUAUUGUCCGAUAAAAUAAAACAAUUGGUGCAAAUUCAAAAAGGACACCACCACACCACCAAAUGAGAUGGCCGUUCUACUAUCACAUUGAUUCAUCAUGAUUGAUGGUCGCCCUCAAUUCAUAAAGAACAAUGAUUUAAAAGUUUGGAAUAUACUAAACUUUUUACGUUCUUUUCUUUGCAAUAAUAAUAAUACAACUAAUAUUAUUACUUAAAACUUGGAUCCACGUAUGUGUGCACCUCACGUGCUAGUUUCACAAUAACGGUCAUUAUCUUUGUCAUUAUUAUGGGAUAUAACAGUGGUAAUAAUAAUAAUUGUACUCCGUCCUUUAAUUCGUGGAAUUAAAAAGUCCGUAUGUAAGUUCUAUUUUCACUGUAGCACUUUUCUUAUGAUGUGAUGUAUGUGAGAUAAAAAAAUAUAUUAAAAAUUGUAAUGAUGAUGUAAGCAAAUAUAAUUAAGAAAAUAAUCAGCUGUCCAAACAAAGCCUACACGUGUUUGAAAACCGAGCAUAGAAUGAAUGCUAUUAGGCCUUGAUGGUCGGAGAGAUUAAAGUUCAACUCUUGUCUUCCAUUAAUUUGUCAUUAUAUGUAAUGAAUUUAAUUGAUUUUAUUUGAUGGAGUUUUUAUCCACAUAUAAUUCUCUUCUCGGAGCAAUACAAAGAAUCAAUUAAUAUAAUGUUGACAAAUUGUCACUGUCCUGGAGAUAGAUUGUUCAUUCCUCUCAACAAGAGAAGAAAAAAUAUCAUGCCAAAGAAGUUUAAUUCUAGUAGAAACACAAUAGUCAUUAUAUGGAAUUUGUCUUCUAAUAUAGGUCUUAGCAGGACAUAAUAGCAGGACAUAGUCAUUAUAUGGAAUUUCUGUACCUCAGAUAUAUGGACUUGAACAAUAGUAAGUAAAGGACUCCUCCAAAUUCUCAACUGCAACAUCAGAGGACUAAAAAAUUACAAAGAACUGUCUGCCUUUAAUUAGCCUGCUACCUUUAUC
RNAcentral lists this long non-coding RNA (1133 nucleotides) under Coffea arabica (coffee). RNAcentral describes it as "long non-coding RNA (CARA_LNC000372)". Lineage: Eukaryota; Viridiplantae; Streptophyta; Magnoliopsida; Gentianales; Rubiaceae. The record is from RNAcentral.